Molecule: ribosomal RNA, 462 nt
Filed under: Hynobius kimurae (Hida salamander)
Lineage: Eukaryota; Metazoa; Chordata; Amphibia; Caudata; Hynobiidae
Description: partial large subunit ribosomal RNA
Rfam family: Bacterial large subunit ribosomal RNA
Source: RNAcentral
AGACCAGUAUGAAUGGCAAGACGAAAGUUCAACUGUCUCCCUAAAUUAAUCAAUGAAAUUGAUUUUUCCGUGCAGAAGCGGAAAUAUAAUUAUAAGACGAGAAGACCCUAUGGAGCUUUAAACAUAUGAUCAAUUGCAUAACAUAAAAUCCAAAAGAUAAAAUAUUUAAUAUAACAAUAUGAUCAAAAUUUUAGGUUGGGGCGACCACGGAGAAAAACAAAACCUCCGAGAUGAAGAGAAUAUCUUAAUUCAAGAACUACAAUUCUAAAAAAUAAAAUAUUUAGCAUAAUUGAUCCAAUACUUUGAUCAACGAACCAAGUUACCCUAGGGAUAACAGCGCAAUCCUCUCCAAGAGUCCCUAUCGACGAGCGGGUUUACGACCUCGAUGUUGGAUCAGGACACCCCAAUGGUGCAGCCGCUAUUAAAGGUUCGUUUGUUCAACGAUUAAAGUCCUACGUGAUC